RNAcentral lists this ribosomal RNA (776 nucleotides) under uncultured Neocallimastigales. Its description in RNAcentral is "partial large subunit ribosomal RNA". It matches the Rfam family "Eukaryotic large subunit ribosomal RNA", at positions 22 to 644 of the family's 3401-position model. The record is from RNAcentral. Lineage: Eukaryota; Fungi; Neocallimastigomycota; Neocallimastigomycetes; Neocallimastigales.
CAUAGCGACUAUCGUGGCAUAUCAAUAAGCGGAGGAAAAGAAACUAACAAGGAUUCCCUUAGUAACGGCGAGUGAAGCGGGAAGAGCUCAAAUUUGAAAUCUUCAAGGUUCUACCUUGACGAAUUGUAGUUUAAAGAAGUGUUUUCUGUUGAAGUUUUGGUAAAAGUUCUUUGGAAUAGGACAUCAUAGAGGGUGAGAAUCCCGUAUUUGACCAUUACUUUCAGCUGUGUGAUACACUUUCAAAGAGUCGGAUUGUUUGGGAAUGCAGUCCAAAAUGGGUGGUAAAUUUCAUCUAAAGCUAAAUAUUGGCGAGAGACCGAUAGCGAACAAGUACCGUGAGGGAAAGAUGAAAAGAACUUUGAAAAGAGAGUUAAACAGUACGUGAAAUUGUCAAAAGGGAAGCGUUUGACCCCAGUGUUGUUUUCUCGAAAAUCAAUUAAAAAUGGCGGAUUUUGUGUUGUAUUGACCUUUAUCAAGCUUUCUUCACUUUUUUUCCUAUCUUUUUUAAUGCACUUUUCGUUUAACAAGUCAACAUCAAUUUCUUUUGUUGUAAAAGAGUCAUUGGAAGGUGGCUUUCUUUUCGGAGAAAGUGUUUAUAGCCUUUGACUUCUGCAAUCGGAGAGAUUGAGGUCUGCAGCGUAGAUCCUUCGGGGUUAGAUACAUUUGUGCUAAGUUAUAGCCUUUCAUAGACAACUUGUUGACUAUGAUCAGUCAUGUAGCUUACUCGCUUAUGCUAUUUUACCUACGCUUAGGAUGUUGAAGAUAUGCGCGACACG